AAAAUGUGGAGGCCAAAUUUUAACGACUACUGAGGUCAGUAACGGAGAGGAAGAGAGCCAGCAGGAAGUCACCCAAAGGAGAGGAAAUGGUUUUAUGGUGUUAGUUUUGGAAAGGUUAGGGUACAAGACAAAAAAAGAGGUGUUCUGAACUCAUUCACAUUUUUUUCAAGACAUAAGAUCCUCCAAUCACAUUAAUAGUUUAAUAUUACAUUCUUUUUUCUUUGGCUUCAGCAUUAGAAUCAGCAUUAGGCAGAAUGGCAAUCUCAGUCACCAUUCACAUUCAUUGUAUGAAGAAAGCUGCAGAAAAAGUGAAUGGUGACUGAGGCCAACAAUUGGCCUGACAGCUCCUUUUAUGUUCCACAGAAGAAAGAAAGUCAUACAGGUUUGAAACAACAUGAGGGUUAGUAAAUGAUGACAGAAUUCAACUAUCACUUUGAGCUAAUAUGAUGUUUUGUCUUCAUUCUACACAUUAAAAUGUAAGGAGAGAGCAGACUAGACAGACACAUGAGACGUACAAGGCACCUGGGCCUCUUUAAAAAACAGUCAGCCAGGAGAAGCCUAAACUUCAAAGCCCAGCAUGCAAAACAGAACAGGAAGUACUGGAACCCAGCCAGGAAGUGAAGAGAGACUGCUGCGUUUACAAGAGGAGCAAGGGGAGAAAAGACCCACUAUGAAGGUUUUACGACACAACCUACAGAGAGAAUACCAGCACACUCGCUACGACUACGCCACUACGACAGAUUCCAACUACAGACUGAGAGGAAAAGGAGAAAAGACAGUUAGAAAUAAAAAGAAAGUGUUGUCAAAAGUACAGGUACUUCGGUACCAAGUCGAUACCAGAGUAUGUGAGUGGAGCGGAGUGGAAGCGGAGUGAGGAGUGGAGUGGCAUGAUUUUGCCUGAAGCUGGUUUUUAAAAAAAUCAGAGCGUUAUUGUUUUCUCUUGCUUCAAGAGCGCUCCACUAAUGCUACAUCACGAGCACAACACCUGUUAAUGGCCUUUAAUGCAAUAAUUCACCACAUGUUAUGCAGUGUUAAACACUAUUGGCAUGAAGGAAAGAUGGAAUUUCUGAUAUAACCAUAAAAAUUGUGAAAAAAAAAUAAAAAUAAAUCUAGAGGCACUUGGUAAUAUUCGACCUCCCGUGCGAAGGUUACUUUCGCUUUCACUCUCUGUAUUCUGUUCACGCUCCCUAUUAUUGAGAUAAGUUUGAUGUAAAGCUUGAGUUAACUACAUGCUCAUGUCUCAUCUCUUUAUUCCAAGAUCAGCUGGCAUAUAUUGAAAAUUAAUGACGGGACGGCGAAGGAGAACACGAGUAAAGAGGUGAUUGCCACGAUCAAAGGUUCAUUGUGAAAUCCUAAAAGACAUGUACAGAAAACAUGAUGAUAAUCCAUUCAUAUGUGGAGAGUAAAUCUAAAGUGGAUUUUUCAAAAGGCCUGCACCCCUGAGUCUUCUCUAUACUGUUGUACAUGAAACUGGUGUUGAGUUGGUAGAAUUCAAUGAAGCUGUCAGCUGAGGACAUGUGAGGCGUCUAUUUCUCAAACUAGAGACUCUGAUGUACUGAUCCUCUUGUUUAGUCGUACAUCUGGCCUUCCACAUCUCUUUCUGUCCUUGUUAGAGCCAGUUGUCCUUUGUCUUUGAAGACUGUAGUGUACAUCUUUGUAUGAAAUCUUCAGUUUUUUUGGCAAUUUCAAGCAUUGUAUAGCCUUCAUUCCUCAAAACAAUGAUUGACUGAUGAGUUUCUAGAGAAAGCUGUUUCUUUUUUUCCAUUUUUGACCUAAUAUUGACCUUAAGACAUGCCAGUCUAUUGCAUACUGUGGCAACUCAAAAACAAACACAAAGACAAUGUUAAGCUUCAUUUAAUGAACCAAAUAGCUUUCAGCUGUGUUUGAUAUAAUGGCAAGUGAUUUUCUAGUACCAAAUUAGCCAUUUAGCAUGAUUACUCAAGGAUAAGGUGUUGGAGUGAUGGCUGCUGGAAAUGGGGCUGUCUAGAUUUGAUCAAAAAUGACUUUUCAAAUAGUGAUGGUGCUGGUUUUUACAUCGGUAAAAAAAAAAAAAAAAAAAAUCUCCCCUAUUAAAUAUUUUGAAUAAUCAUAUAAUCAUUGUAAUCUAAUGCAUCGCAAUUUUAACUGUAGGCUCUUAUGUCCCGCAUUAAAUAGAAUUGAACUUUUAACGACCUAAAACACCAACUGAACUAAUCAAUAUGUUAAUAUUGCAUAGUCUGACUUUGACCAAUUGCCAUCUAAAUUUAUUUUAGUGCUGUAGGCUAAUUUAUGCAUUAUACAUUUGCAGAUGAAGAAGCUCAGCAAAUGCGAGCAGAGAGAGGUAGACUUAAAAUCUUUAAAAAAUCCAAACGCUAGUAUUUCUAAAAGUGAACUCUGCAUUAGACAUAUAGUUUUGAUAGUCUUAUCUAGUUUUGAUUUAAUAAAGUGUAGAACAUUCUGAGAAUGUAAUUUUUUCAUUCAAAAAAUUAUAGGGCAAGGUUAAUUAAAGGUGCACUAAUAGAAAAUAAAAGGCAAUAAUUGCAAUAAUACAUAGGCCUAAUAAUGUUUUUGUUUUUUUUAGUUUGGUAAUUUAUAAAUUUUAUUUAAUGUUUUUUUCGUCUUGUAAUUUAUUUAAUUUAUUAAAUCCAGAGAAUGUUGCAGGCAUGUUUCAAAAGUAAGCUAUAAAAAUAAUUUAGUCUUGGGCUAAUGUUAGUGUUCCAAUAAAGCACACUGAAGCUUUUCUUCCUAGUAUUGUGUAUUUAUUUUCAUUUAAUACAUCUUCUGCAUGGAGGGUUGCGAUAUUUAAAAGCAUACUGAAAAAAACUUUACAGUGGAGAGGUAGUCAGGUGCUAAUUUUGCCAUGGAGCGAACAUGGAGCAGGGUGUCUCUAAUCCAGGAGCGUGGAGCGGGAAAUGGCAACCCGGAGUGGAGCUGGAUCAAAGUGAUUAAAGAAUGCUUUGAGCGCGGAGGAGAAAUUGUAACGAUACCAGUGAUUCUGCAAUACUGGUAGUACCAAGCACCGACUCAAUCCGGUACCAGCUAACUGACACAUGACGGCUUUAAAAUGCUCACAGGCUUAUUUUGAACGUGUGCUCUGUUACUCCUUUUAAACGGAAAUGGGAAAUUUAUCAAAUUAAAAUCGUGAAACCACUAAUGGCUGGAAUCUUCAGCGUGGGUGAGCAAUGUAUAAACCCGACCACUCAAACACUGGAAACGCAUCAGACAUCGAGAAUCAUUCGCGUUGUAUCAGAUGACAGAGCAGAGCACUAAGCCACGGUGAACCACGCAGCACAUGUAAAAUAUAUAUUUAUAUAAUUAAACCACAGCAUUUGUGCUUUUAUCUCAACUCAACUUUAUUUAUAUCAUAUUUAAAACAACAGAGUUGACCAAAGUGAUUCAAAGUAAUAAAAUUUAAAACAUAAAAUUUCAAAAUUAACACAUACAUAAACAUCAGUAAUCUAAAAUCCAAACACUACAAAACAGUGUCUUACAUUUCAUUUGUCAGACUCAAAGACUAGUGUAAAGAGAUGAGAUUUCAGACGUAGCACAAAAGUCUUCAAUGAUCACACUGGGCCCUGUGGCAAACUGUUUAUCCGGUAAAGUGAAGCUUCCGGCAAAAAACACACGUCAUAAUAAAAGCACAAUUCAAAAUAAAAGCUAGAUGCCUGAAAUUGAAGAAAUUGUGACAGAAAUAUAUAACAACUGUAUAAUAAAAUGUAAUAUUUACUGUAAUAAUAAUAGUAUUAAUAAUAAUAAUAAGCAACCAAUAUAUCACAAGCGAGACUGCUGUUGAAUAAAAGUUUGGGGAAAAAAAUGCAAUGACAUGUUGAAAAGAUCCAUUUUUACUUGUUUAAAUUUUAAGAAUUGAUUGAUUAGACACCAUUUUGAUGAUGAAAUUAAACUUUAAAACAUGGAGUUCUGGAAAAUAAUUAUUAUCAAACUAUAAUUAUUAAAAUAAUUAUUAAAUUACACCCCUGAAUUCGUGAGUUGGAAUCCAGGGUGUGCUUAGUGACUCCAGCCAGGUCUUCUAAGCAACCAAAUUGGCCCGGUUGCUAGGGAGGGUAGAGUCACGAGGUAACAUCCUUGUGAUCGCAAUUAGUGGUUCUCGCUCUCAAUGGGGCAUGUGAUAAGUUGUGCGUGGAUCAUGGAGAGUAGCAUGAGCCUCCACAUGCUGCGAGUCUCCGCGGUGUCAUGCACAACGAGCCACGUGAUAAGAUGUGUGGAUUGACUGUCUCAGAAACGGAGGCAACUGAGACUUGUCCUCCGCCACCCGGAUUGAGGCGAGUAACCGCGCCACCAUGAGGACCUACUCAGUAGUGGGAAUUGGGCAU
Long non-coding RNA from Myxocyprinus asiaticus (Chinese sucker), 4310 nucleotides. RefSeq lists it as uncharacterized. The transcript has 3 exons. Lineage: Eukaryota; Metazoa; Chordata; Actinopteri; Cypriniformes; Catostomidae. The record is from RefSeq and is a predicted model, not a curated record.